Molecule: non-coding RNA, 69 nt
Organism: Rattus norvegicus (Norway rat)
Lineage: Eukaryota; Metazoa; Chordata; Mammalia; Rodentia; Muridae
Source: Rfam
GGGGGUUUAGCUCAGUGGUAGAGCGCUUGCCUAGGAAGCGCAAGGCCCUGGGUUCAGUCCCCAGCUCCG